GGGUCUUCAAGAUUAGUAGAGCUCAACGAUUAUAUUCGUCACCUUCACAAGAAAGGGAAGCUUGAGGUGCUCAGCUUUUGUGAGACCAAAGUAACUCCAAUAGUUGAAGGUUAUGGUGGAUGGGCCUUUCGAGUGGAAAUUGUCCCUAUUGAAUCAGCAUAUCCUGGUUUUGGUGAGCUGGUGGUUCUGGAGUCAAAGGAUCAUGUAAAUUCCUGCAAACCUGUGAGCCGCAUUGACCCUUCUUACAAGGAGACAUUAGAAUUCUUGCGGAAAUUAAAAGUUAACUAUACCUGAGACGUUUUAGAUAGAGUUCCUGUAAAUACUUGUACAAGCUCGAGGAUUAAAGACUUGAUAGCUUAUACGUGCAUGUUUGGGAAGCUCUAGACGUCAAACAGGCGCCUGACGCUUCAAUUUUGGGAUCAUGAGCGGAGCAGCUUUCCUGCAAGUCUUCUAUUAGAUUUGGGCUUGCGAACUUGUUUAUUUUCUAUUACUCUCCUGUGUAUUUUACCUUUAGGCAAGCUUGCUGCUAGCUCCUGGGACUUUGUAUUUUACUUUCCUCUAUAUUACACUCCUUAAUUUUUCUUCUUA
This is a long non-coding RNA of Prosopis cineraria, 588 nucleotides long. RefSeq lists it as uncharacterized. The transcript is spliced from 3 exons. The record is from RefSeq and is a predicted model, not a curated record. Lineage: Eukaryota; Viridiplantae; Streptophyta; Magnoliopsida; Fabales; Fabaceae.